AUCUAAAUCUAUAUUAUCCUGAAUCCUCCCAACCUCACCUGAUCUGGGGAUCUAACCAGGGUGAAGCCUGGUUAGGACUCGAAGACCCCGAAUACAAGGAGCUGUAAGUU
This 110-nucleotide ribosomal RNA is filed under the name Phascolarctos cinereus (koala). Lineage: Eukaryota; Metazoa; Chordata; Mammalia; Diprotodontia; Phascolarctidae. The record is from RNAcentral.